AACGAACGCUGGCGGCAUGCCUAACACAUGCAAGUCGAACGAACCCUUCGGGGUUAGUGGCGCACGGGUGCGUAACGCGUGGGGAUCUGCCCUUUGCUUCGGAAUAACAGUUAGAAAUGACUGCUAAUACCGGAUGAUGUCGCAAGACCAAAGAUUUAUCGGCAAAGGAUGAACCCGCGUAGGAUUAGGUAGUUGGUGGGGUAAAGGCCUACCAAGCCGACGAUCCUUAGCUGGUCUGAGAGGAUGAUCAGCCACACUGGGACUGAGACACGGCCCAGACUCCUACGGGAGGCAGCAGUGGGGAAUAUUGGACAAAUGGGCGAAAGCCUGAUCCAGCAAUGCCGCGUGAGUGAUGAAGGCCUUAGGGUCGUAAAGCUCUUUUACCCGGGAUGAUAAUGACAGUACCGGGAGAAUAAGCUCCGGCUAACUCCGUG
RNAcentral lists this ribosomal RNA (434 nucleotides) under uncultured bacterium. Its description in RNAcentral is "bacterial SSU rRNA". It matches the Rfam family "Bacterial small subunit ribosomal RNA", at positions 29 to 507 of the family's 1533-position model. The record is from RNAcentral.